RNAcentral lists this ribosomal RNA (380 nucleotides) under uncultured bacterium. Its description in RNAcentral is "bacterial SSU rRNA". It matches the Rfam family "Bacterial small subunit ribosomal RNA", at positions 28 to 410 of the family's 1533-position model. The record is from RNAcentral.
GACGAACGCUGGCGGCGUGCUUAACACAUGCAAGUCGAGCGGUAAGGCCCUUUCGGGGGUACACGAGCGGCGAACGGGUGAGUAACACGUGGGUGACCUGCCCUCAGCUCUGGGAUAAGCCUGGGAAACCGGGUCUAAUACUGGAUAUGACUCCAUGACGCAUGUUGUGGGGUGGAAAGCCUUGUGCGGCUGAGGAUGGGCCCGCGGCCUAUCAGCUUGUGGUGGGGUGAUGGCCUACCAAGCGACGACGGGUAGCCGGCCUGAGAGGGCGACCGGCCACACUGGGACUGAGACACGGCCCAGACUCCUACGGGAGGCAGCAGUGGGGAAUCUUGCGCAAUGGGCGAAAGCCUGAACGCAGCGACGCCGCGUGAGGGAUG